UAGAGGGUGGUAGAAUUUCAGGUGUAGCGGUGAAAUGCGUAGAGAUCUGAAGGAAUACCGAUGGCGAAGGCAGCCACCUGGGUCAAUACUGACGCUCAUGUACGAAAGCGUGGGGAGCAAACGGGAUUAGAUACCCCGGUAGUCCACGCCGUAAACGAUGUCUACUAGGAGCUGGGGUCUUCGGACAACUUUUCCAAAGCUAACGCAUUAAGUAGACCGCCUGGGGAGUACGGCCGCAAGGUUAAAACUCAAAUGAAUUGACGGGGGCCCGCACAAGCGGUGGAGCAUGUGGUUUAAUUCGAUGCAACGCGAAGAACCUUACCUACACUUGACAUGCUGAGAAGUUACUAGAGAUAGUUUCGUGCCUUCGGGAACUCAGACACAGGUGCUGCAUGGCUGUCGU
RNAcentral lists this ribosomal RNA (403 nucleotides) under Eutreptiella gymnastica. RNAcentral describes it as "partial Bacterial small subunit ribosomal RNA". It matches the Rfam family "Bacterial small subunit ribosomal RNA", at positions 652 to 1055 of the family's 1533-position model. Lineage: Eukaryota; Euglenozoa; Euglenophyceae; Eutreptiales; Eutreptiaceae. The record is from RNAcentral.